AAGUUGCUGUUGCUAGUGCUGCGGAUCGCUGCUAUUGUUGUCGACACCUCGUUGUUGUUUUGAAGUUCAAAGUUAACGAAACGAGUCGAAAGAGAGACGAGACAAGACGAAACGCAGCCGAGGAGGAGGAGGAAGCACGGGCAAUGCAAAGAAAACAAGAAAAGGGGCAGGGGCCCUCCGACAAUCGACAAUUUAAACAUGGGAGAUGAGCAGAGUUGCAGACAACACGGCGUAUGCGUAAUCAAUCAACUGAUGUGGAUGGAUGGCCAAAAAACAAAGCACCAUGGUCCCCACCCGAAGUCCCGCUGAGCAGCCAGCUUGUCACCCGACCGGGCCAUUGUCUUUCCCCAGCUGCGGAGAUGUGCGUGAGUCGCGGAUCGUGAGCGAAGCUGCGUGAGGAUUCACUAGAUUCAGUCAAGGGCACUAGGCCUUGUGAAAUUGAGUGGCACUGUUGACUAGAAAAGUGCUGUUUUUGCGGCUCGGGCGCUGACGUGAGUCAUAAAAAUACAUUGAAUGCGAAUGUUACGUAUACGCCAUGAAGUGCAACAGCGAUUGUAGAACCUGUAGAAGCCAUAAACUAAUGCCAGUGUGAUGGAUUGGAAA
Long non-coding RNA from Drosophila erecta, 603 nucleotides. RefSeq lists it as uncharacterized. NCBI's taxonomy places the organism in Eukaryota, Metazoa, Arthropoda, Insecta, Diptera, Drosophilidae. The record is from RefSeq and is a predicted model, not a curated record. The transcript has 3 exons.